GGCCCGGCUUUUGCUCUGUCUAUUGCGCAGGUAGCCAACGGCGGUUGCCCCCACAUAUACGACAAAGACGUCGC
Molecule: non-coding RNA, 74 nt
Filed under: unclassified sequences
Description: narK RNA
Rfam family: narK RNA
Source: RNAcentral